RNAcentral lists this ribosomal RNA (467 nucleotides) under uncultured bacterium. Its description in RNAcentral is "partial 16S ribosomal RNA". It matches the Rfam family "Bacterial small subunit ribosomal RNA", at positions 28 to 507 of the family's 1533-position model. The record is from RNAcentral.
GAUGAACGCUGGCGGCAUGCUUAACACAUGCAAGUCAACCGGAAGAUGGGAGCUUGACUCAGGUUUGGGUGGCGGACGGGUGAGUAACGCGUAAGGAACUGGCCUCUCAGCUAGGGAAAAGACUGGGAAACGAAUGCUAAAACCUAAAAGUAUUAUAAUAGAGCAUCCUAGAUUUAUGAAAGCUAUAAGCGCUGUGAGAGGGCGUUGCGUUUCAUUAGCUAGUUGGAGAGGUAACGGCUCACCAAUGCGAUGAUGGGUAGCCGGACUGGGAGGGUGACCGGCCCCAAGGGGCCUGGGGCGCGGCCCUUACGCCUACUUGAGGCAGCAGUGGGGACUAUUGGACGCUGGGCCGCGAGUCUGAUCCAGCACUUCUGUGUGCACGAUGAAGUUUUUCGGAAUGUAAAGUGCUUUCAGUUGAGAUGAAACUAUUGACGGUACCAACAGAAGAAGUGACGGCUAACUACGUG